CAGCCGUAAACUAUGCUCGCUAGGUGUCAGGCAUGGCGCGACCGUGUCUGGUGCCGCAGGGAAGCCGUGAAGCGAGCCACCUGGGAAGUACGGCCGCAAGGCUGAAACUUAAAGGAAUUGGCGGGGGAGCACAACAACGGGUGGAGCCUGCGGUUUAAUUGGACUCAACGCCGGACAACUCACCGGGGACGACAGCAAUAUGUAGGCCAGGCUGGAGACCUUGCCUGAAUCGCUGAGAGGAGGUGCAUGGCGUAGACGUCU
Molecule: ribosomal RNA, 261 nt
Filed under: uncultured archaeon
Lineage: Archaea
Description: partial 16S ribosomal RNA
Rfam family: Archaeal small subunit ribosomal RNA
Source: RNAcentral